Long non-coding RNA from Dama dama (fallow deer), 602 nucleotides. RefSeq lists it as uncharacterized. Lineage: Eukaryota; Metazoa; Chordata; Mammalia; Artiodactyla; Cervidae. The record is from RefSeq and is a predicted model, not a curated record. The transcript is spliced from 2 exons.
CAGUGCUAUUUGAAAAUCUGGGCUUCCGAAUAUUGACUGAGCUCUGGUUGAUUUCGAGUGAUAACCUAUGAUACCCUUAAAAAACAGAGAUAUUACUUUGCCAACAAAGGUUUGUGUAGUCAAAGCUACGGUUUUUCCAGUAGUCAUGUAUGGAUGUGAGAGUUGGACUUUGAAGAAAGCUGAGCACCGAAGAAUUGAUGCUUUUGAACAGUGGUGUUGGAGAAGACUCUUGGACUGCAAGAGUCCAAGAAGUCCCUUGGACUGCAAGGAGAUCCAACCAGUCCAUCCUAAAGGAAAUCAAUCCUGAAUAGUCAUUGGAAGGACUGAUGCUGAAGCUGAAACUCCAAUACUUUGGCCACCUGAUGCGAAGAACUGACUCAUUUGGAAAGACGCUGAUGCUGGGAAAGAUUGAAGGUGGAAGGAGAAGGCGAUGACAGAGGAUGAGAUUGUUGGAUGGCAUCACCGACUCAAUGGACUUGAGUUUGAGUAAACUCUGGAAGUUGGCGAUGGACAGGGAGGCCUGGUGUGCUGCAGUCCAUGGGGUUGUAAACAGUCAGACAUGACUGAGCGACUGAACUGAGUACAUUAUAAUAUUGUAAAGU